GACGAACGCUGGCGGCGUGCUUAACACAUGCAAGUCGAACGGAAAGGCCCUGCUUUUGUGGGGUGCUCGAGUGGCGAACGGGUGAGUAACACGUGAGUAACCUGCCCUUGACUUUGGGAUAACUUCAGGAAACUGGGGCUAAUACCGGAUAGGAGCUCCUGCUGCAUGGUGGGGGUUGGAAAGUUUCGGCGGUUGGGGAUGGACUCGCGGCUUAUCAGCUUGUUGGUGGGGUAGUGGCUUACCAAGGCUUUGACGGGUAGCCGGCCUGGGAGGGUGACCGGCCACAUGGGGACUGAGAUACGGCCCAGACUCCUACGGGAGGCAGCAGUGGGGAAUAUUGCACAAUGGGCGGAAGCCUGAUGCAGCAACGCCGCGUGCGGGAUGACGGCCUUCGGGUUGUAAACCGCUUUCGCCUGUGACGAAGCGUGUGUGACGGUAAUGGGUAAAGAAGCACCGGCUAACUACGUG
This 468-nucleotide ribosomal RNA is filed under the name uncultured bacterium. Its description in RNAcentral is "partial 16S ribosomal RNA". It matches the Rfam family "Bacterial small subunit ribosomal RNA", at positions 28 to 507 of the family's 1533-position model. The record is from RNAcentral.